GGCUCAGGAUGAACGCUGGCGGCGUGCUUAACACAUGCAAGUCGAACGGAGUUUUAGUAAUUGAUUGAUUAAGCUUGCUUUUGAGAGAUUUUACUAAAACUUAGUGGCGGACGGGUGAGUAACGCGUGGGUAACCUGCCGUAUACAGGGGGACAACAGUUGGAAACGACUGCUAAUACCGCAUAAGCGCACAGCAUCGCAUGAUGCAGUGUGAAAAACUCCGGUGGUAUACGAUGGACCCGCGUCUGAUUAGCUAGUUGGUGAGGUAACGGCCCACCAAGGCGACGAUCAGUAGCCGGCCUGAGAGGGUGAACGGCCACAUUGGGACUGAGACACGGCCCAAACUCCUACGGGAGGCAGCAGUGGGGAAUAUUGCACAAUGGGGGAAACCCUGAUGCAGCGACGCCGCGUGAGUGAAGAAGUAUUUCGGUAUGUAAAGCUCUAUCAGCAGGGAAGAAAAUGACGGUACCUGACUAAGAAGCCCCGGCUAACUACGUG
This 497-nucleotide ribosomal RNA is filed under the name uncultured bacterium. Its description in RNAcentral is "bacterial SSU rRNA". It matches the Rfam family "Bacterial small subunit ribosomal RNA", at positions 21 to 507 of the family's 1533-position model. The record is from RNAcentral.